Molecule: long non-coding RNA, 1517 nt
Filed under: Monodelphis domestica (gray short-tailed opossum)
Lineage: Eukaryota; Metazoa; Chordata; Mammalia; Didelphimorphia; Didelphidae
Description: lncRNA (ENSMODG00000031330.2)
Source: RNAcentral
UGUGUCAUUUCUGCAAUGGGUGCAGCUUCUGCAGAGAGAAGGUGGUGGGCCAGAGGCAGAGCCCCAUCCCCAUCCCGAUCCCCAGAGGGACCUCAGAAUUGUUGGUGUUUCCACGGGCCGCCUCCGGGACAAUGACUUUUGCUCAGCUGGUACGCUGAAGCAUCCCUUCCAAUCUCCGUGAUGUCUGUUUCAAACUACAAAAUGCUGGACUUGGCUGGCCCCCCUCUAUUUACCAAGAAAGUUCUAGAGGAUGGCAUUCCGCGCAUCUCUACCAAACCUAGACUGUUGCCCUUCGCAGAUGUUCACAGAAGCUGAAAAACCCUCCCAAGCUCUGCUUGCUUCGGGGGGCCUCAUUCAGAGCCCAUCUUUCCUCCUCCAAGCCAGACCGGGAUAUUCCAGCAUCGGGAUCCCCCUUUCCUGGGCUUCUUCAGUUGUGGAAAGGCUGGAGGACAUCCUCUGAAAUGCUCCCAGCCCUUGGCAAGAGAAGGGAGGGGGCCAAAACCAGUCCCUGAGUCAGAGGCAGACCCCCUUCAUCUCCUCAAUGAAGAACCUGGAAUUGAUGGUGUUGACAUGAGGUCCUACAGGACAGUGCCCUCUGCCCACAUAGGCUCCCAGCCAUGCCCAGAAGGCUCCAUGAAGUCAGCUGCAAAACAGUCAACUAUCACAUGUACCCACCCCUAAACACUGAGACCUUAAAGUGACUCUUGUAAUCCUAGAGAUGAGUUUUGGCCCCAAUCUAGGCCAAUAUCCUUUGAAUUUCCCCUGAGUCCCCUGAACAGACUUCGAUGAGGCCUUUCACUUGAUCAGGGCUCCCCAGAUCCUCACAACCUCCAGGACCCUCCAUUUGAAAGCUGAGCCCAUUGUCCUGGUUCUCUCCCCUCUUGAUUGUUACUGACGGUGGGGACUUGUUCGGACACCUCUGGAAACACAAUCAUAAUCAGAGCAUCUUGCAUGUUCUGACUGUUGGUUCGCGCUCAUGCUUAACACUGAGUGAAUCAACUGAGGUGAUAUACUGGGGACGCGGACUGUGCCAAGCCAGGAAUGACCUCUUCAGGCCUCAGAUUCUGGUUCAGAGCAGCAGAGACCAAUUUCGUCAAGGCCUUCAUCUGGACAAGGGCUCACAUGACCCAACCCAGCCUGUGUGGCCCUCCCAGACCGUGAAGGGACAGUCCUCCCGGCUGCUUCUGACCCCUACUCAGCGGGGGCAAGUCCUCUUCGCCCACGUACCCCUACAUGCCACAAGGGUUCUCGCCAGAGUCCUGCCCUCAACCAUAAUGAAUGGAGGAAUGAACACGGCCGAGAUCCUGGCUUCUUGCUCAGCCUCAUCUCUGCCAGUGUGUCAUUUCCGCAAUGGGUGCAGCUUCUACAGAGAGAAGUUGGUGGGCCAGAGGCGGAGCCCCAGCCCCAUCCCCUUCAACCGGAGGGACCUCAGAAUUGUUGGUGUUUCCACGGGCCCCCUCCGGGACAGUGACUUUUGCUCAGCUGGUCCCAUGAAGCAUCCCCUCCAAUCUCCGUGA